UCCCUGAGAAUGCUCUGACUGCU
This 23-nucleotide microRNA is filed under the name Caenorhabditis remanei. RNAcentral describes it as "crm-miR-237-5p". Its record names the gene crm-miR-237-5p. The record is from miRBase by way of RNAcentral. Lineage: Eukaryota; Metazoa; Nematoda; Chromadorea; Rhabditida; Rhabditidae.